Non-coding RNA from Cyanistes caeruleus (blue tit), 5398 nucleotides. Lineage: Eukaryota; Metazoa; Chordata; Aves; Passeriformes; Paridae. The record is from RefSeq and is a predicted model, not a curated record.
CUCUUUUUGUGUCUCCCCAGUCGAGGAACAGUGGCCAGCAAGGGGACACAGAUGGCGCCCGGCGGCUCGGACGCAUGGCCAGGCUGCUCAGCAUCGUCUCCAUUGUGCUGGGGACCAUCAUCAUCGUGCUCUACAUUUCACUCAGCGUCAGAGGUUCCUAGAAGAUGUUUCAGCAUGCAAAUACCUUGAAGAGGAGGAAGACAACUUUCCUUUUGGGGUUUUUACUUUCAGCCUUGCAACAAAACAAAAAAUUGUCACAGUGUAGGUGGGCAGCCCUAGACAGUCUGCUCUGGAGCGCCGUCGGAAGGAACGCAUGCUUCAAUUCACCGCCUCUUGGGAAUGAGCCUGUGCGAGGGAUGGGAUAAAAAUCACCCUGAGUAGGAAUGGGAGAGGCCACGUGGAGAGGAGAAAGGGGAAAUCCACUACCUCAUUCCCCUCCAGCAGAACUCAUGGAGUGGGGAGACAACUAAAGUGCAAGAGGAGGAGAGAGUCUCCAGAAUGAAGCUGGUUUUGGAAGGAAAAUACAAGGCAAGAACGGGAUGUUUUGAGGAGUCCUCCUGAGAAUUUUGGCACAAGUCACUGGAUUUUUUGGGGGGUUGUUGGUUUUUAAAUCGUCAAAUUCUCUGUCUCUACAAAAACAAAACAAAAACAACGAAACAAAGCUCAAACUGCCAUCAGGAGCUGAGAGCUGUUGCACAGAGGAGGAGGGAGUGCAGAGCUGCAGAAGGACCAUGGCUCUGCUCCGAAUGAAACGCAGCUGCCAAAGCUGGAGGAUGUGGUGGGUGCUUUUGUAUUUUUGAUGAAAAAAAAAAGAAAAAAAAAAAAAAGAAAAAAAAAAGAGACAAUGACCAUUUGCAUGCCUUUGGGAAUGUUCUCCAUGUCUGCUCCUACAAGCUCUUUUAUCACUUAGGGCAGAUGUCAGAGCUGGCAGAGCAGGAUGUUGCUGCAUGAGAACCCCAGGCUCCUCCUCACCCCCAUCCCAUGGUGGGCUUUUUAAUGGAAGGCAGAAUCAGGCGUUCCCUGUGAACCCACACAUUUCUCUGUGCACCCAAAGGGAGCUUAGCACCCCUGGCACCGAGACAAGAGCCUGGUUAAUGCCCAGCAGCAGCACCACGGCACAGAGAGCCCGUUCUACCCAUGCACACCCCGAUGCCACGGCACGUCUGUCCUGCAGAGGCUCAGCAUGAUCCAGCCCCCACCACUGCCAGUGCUCAUCCCCCCAACCCUCUGGGGCUUUGGCUUAGGGCCUUGCAGGAGAUUUUCAGGGGCAUGAAGGAGUUUUAGAUUCCUGCUCCUCUCCUUGCAUCUCUCACACAGCUCUUCUGCAGCUCUGGAAAUCUCCGGCGUCCCCAGAGCUGCCUGAGGUCAGUUCCACGAGUCCUAUUAUUUUUUAAUGUUUUGUAUUUAACAUAACAAGAAAACAGACUCUGCUCCUCCCACUCUGUCUGUAGGUACCACAGGACCUGCCAUGUCUUCCACACCAUCCCCGUGGGACCCACUCCCCACACGCUCUCUCGAGGCUCCAUCCAGCCCCAGCCCUUCUCCUCCCCACUCACCCCUCAUUGCUGCGGGCACUUCUCGGGGUUGGCCCUCUACCCACUCACCCAGACUAUGCAAAGCUCCAUGGCCUGUUGUUUUAGUCAGGCUUUGUGACUUCUGGCCACAUCCAUUGGCUCCCUGAGUCUCUUUGAUCCAAACUUUGGGGACACAUCACCUAGAGCUGCACUGCCCGGCCUUUCUGUUGUCUCCAGCUGACAACCUGCGACAUAAAAGCAUGGACUGACUGAGAAAUGUUGUCCUUCAGGGCACUUCUGCUCCCUAACAUCCAUCUUCUGAAAAACACCCCCAAUUUACACCAAAUUCAAUGCUUCCCAGGGCUUGUCUACAUGGAGAAUCCACCAAAAGAAACUUCACAACAUGGUAAUUGCUAGGCACUAACUCCUUCCCUGGGCUCUAAAUGGGCACAUGGGUUAGCACAGGGUAGGGGUGAUGUGUAAGUCCUCGCUGUAGUUACUCUGUAGUAAUUAAUGAGCAAAGCCACAGGCAUCUCUGUGAAAAUUCUCCUGUCACCUUUUUGAUUGCUCCUCUUUCAAUUGUUUUUUUUUUCUUCUAGAUGUUGUUUGAAUCCAGGGGGUGACAAAGCCAAAUCCCCCAGGCAUGCUGUCAAUAUUUUUCUCUCCAUUGGAAGGGAUUCCAGGGACUCACAGCAAGAGCACAUCACUACAGCACUUUCUUGGGCUCCAUUCCCACCCAGCUCUUUGUCAGCACUCCAUCACCACUGCUGGUGUCCAAAAUGGACCAAAUCUGCAACUUUUCUUUUGCAAUUUAUCUUUUGUGAGUUCAGCAAACAGGGACUGCUGAACAUUGCUGGGUGGGAGCUCCCUCCUCCAUCCUCUGUCCAGGCACUGCAUCUUUUCCUCCUGAGCCCUUCAGAACCCCUCCCUUGGAUGUUCAGACUUUAAUCUUAUGGCUAUUGGAAUCCCAUCAAAACCCCCAAAUGUUUCCUUCUUUAACUCUUGGUCCCAAAAGCUGCUUGCUGGGGAACACAUGGGGUGUUUUUUGGAGCUACAAAAGGGCAGUGCUGUCUGUCCCUGAAUCUCCUGCCCUUUGCUCUUGGAGCUGCUGGAAUUCAGUUGAUGGGAAAAGCCCAGAAAACUCCUCCUUGGGCAGGAAGGGCCCUUUUUCAGGGAAAAGUGCUGGAGGGAGUUAUAGGACUUGAGAGCAUUUAAGUAAGAAUUCAAAUGCUCUUUUAUCAUUAUAUAAAGCCUUUCAUCUAAAGUGCUUCUCUGCAUCCAAAGGAUUAAACCCUGCCACCCCCCACGAGGUGGGUUCACAUUACUGCUCUAAUUGCAGGGAUGGCAAAUGCUCAGGCACUGAGCAGUUCCCAAAUCAACCCCCUUUUCUUCCUCCUCCCUAACAGAACCGUGUAUCAGCACAGAUUUCCUUGGAAUCUGGUUGUUUUUUUUUUCAGUGGGAUUAGACAAACUAUACCCCACUGUGGUUCCAAAUGGGAUUCCUGCAGCCAGAGGAAGGUGAGGCAGCUGCAGUGGUCCUUGCCAGGAGAAGUCCCAGGCCAGGGCAGCACAAAGCAGUGGAUUCCCCUGGAUGCAGGAGAAGGCAGAAGAUUCCCCCAAAAUCCCCAAGGUGAUGAUUUGUUUGUGCCUCCUGUCUCAUUGGACAGCUCAGGUGAUGCUUCUCACCUCACUAUUAUGUAUGAUAACAAAAGAGAAGAACUAAGACACUUGAAUCCCUUUCAUUCUAAAAUCUUCCUGAAUAGAUACAAUUGUACUGCAGCCUUGAACUCAGCUUUUUUUUCUUAUCCUGCAUUUAAAUCCAGAGGAAAGCCUCUACAGUUAUCCCUGAUCCGCUUGUGACCUGCCUCUCCAGUGCUGGAGAGAUAAACUCUCCAGGGACAUCCAGAAAGUCCCUUCUCCCUGCUCCCCUAUCAACUUCUCCAUACAUUUUGCAGCCUGUUUUGCAAAGUUUUUGCCACUUUGCUUUCCCCAUUCCCCACAGUUUUAUCCCAGCUCAGCUCCCUCUUUGGCUUUUUCUGGGUGGAAUUUGCUCAUAUUUGUGAAGGAAGAGGUUGCAGGGCCCCCAGCCCUCGGCACACACCUCACCUGUGCUGUGUUACAGGGAGGUUGAUGAUGGCAGAACUUCAUCCUGAGCCCACCAGGCACAGUCACCCCUUUGACUAAAUCUACAGGGAGCUCCCCAGAACUCGGCUUUUAGCACACAGGGGGGCAACCACAAAAACUGUGCCAUGAGCCUUUUCCUCUCCAGCCCCACCAGCAGCCCUGUUUCCUAUCCCCCAGCCCUUUGCCACCUGCUGCAGCCUCCUCUGAGCACUCAUGUCAGAAUUUUCUGUGUUUGCAACCAAAACAGUCAUGAAAUCCUCAGGCUCUGGCCAACUUCUCCCUGCUGGUGAAGGAAAGGUGAGAGCAGGGUGACAAUGCAGCCCUACCUGACAGGGGAGCUGAGCUGGUAGGAGGGGAGCUCACUGAAGGGAUGGAGAAGGUGGGAAAUGUCUGUAAAUGUAAGCUGGAGUAGGAGUUACCAUGGACAAGAGUGAGGUCCUGGUGGGAUGUAAAUCCAUGGGAAGGAGCCUCUGAGCAGAGCAUCGGGGCUGGUGGCACCUCCCUGGCACUGCUGUCCCUGGGCAGAACUGGGCUCUGUGGGGUGGCACAGAAGGGCUGCUGGCUGCAUCAAGGCUGGAUUGAAGCUUUAAGCUGAACCAGCAACAAUCUUGGCUUGGUUUUGUAGCAGCUCCUGGUGUGAUGCAGUGGCUGAGGGUGAGGAAAGGUCUGGCCCAAGUCAGUGGAUGUCAGCACCACGCUGGGUGCUGCCUGCAGACUCCAGAGGGAUCUGAGCACCAGCAGAGGAAAGAAAGCCACCAAAGGAUUUCCAAUUUUGCUGUGUUAAGGAUGGCUUUGCUUUUUCUGGCUGUUUUUUCACCCUGUUCCAGUUCACUCCUCUCUUUGCUGGUUUUGCCACUCCGUCCCUCAGCAUUCCCAACCCCAGAGCAUUCCUGAGCACCACAGCUCCUUCCUCCCAUCCUCUGCCUCUCCUUUAACCCAAACAGGUCUUGCUGCAACGAGAUCUCAUCUCUGGGCUCUGCUGGAAGGGUUAGAGAGGGCAGGGAACCUCUGACCCAGCUCCAGCACAGGGUACCUCACCUUCCCCACACAGAUUUCUCCAUGUAGACAAGGGGAGCAGAUCCUGCCUUUUAAAUAGAAUGGAAUCUCCCUUUCCCUUCGCUCUGAGCCCAGGGAGAGGCUGCAGAAAGGCACCCAUCGGGCUGGCCCCACCCUUGGCCUGUCACUUUGUUACUCUCACACAACCACAGCCCGGGUUGCACUGUCAAGCUGAAAUAAUUCAGAUUUAAGCUCGUUUUCCUUUCAGUAUACAGCCUUUAGUUUUGGCAAAAACCAGUUAGGUUUGGGCUGAAAAACUCCCCUGCUUGGGCACAAGCCAAGGGGGUGUGUGUGUGGGAAAGCAGCCUUUUCAAAGUGGGAAUAUUUGUAAAGCAUUUGCUGACACCAGUAGGUAGCAAAAUUCCAACCUAUCCAGGAUUCUACCCAUCCAGGAUAAGAAACAUCAGAAAGGGAACGUGUGCAGGAUUCACCAAGGCAACUCUGACAGCGCUUGGGAGCCCUUGUUAGAAGGUGCCAGGACCUGAUCCUUGGCAUGGAUCCAUGGCAGGGUCCAUCCCCUCCACUGGGAGAGCCACAGCUCACACACAGCAUGAACACACCAGGAAUUGCAGCUGGGUGCUUCUCUUUGCUGACAAAUGUUUCUUUUUCUGCAGGAUGGUAUGGUAUAUCUUAUAUACUUUCUUUGUAUUUCUUGGCAUGAGAAAAAAAAAAAAAAUAAUUAAAAUGUAACAUGCAUGGUCAAA